This 468-nucleotide ribosomal RNA is filed under the name uncultured bacterium. Its description in RNAcentral is "partial 16S ribosomal RNA". It matches the Rfam family "Bacterial small subunit ribosomal RNA", at positions 28 to 507 of the family's 1533-position model. The record is from RNAcentral.
GACGAACGCUGGCGGCGUGCUUAACACAUGCAAGUCGAACGGAAAGGCCCUGCUUUUGUGGGGUGCUCGAGUGGCGAACGGGUGAGUAACACGUGAGUAACCUGCCCUUGACUGUGGGAUAACUUCAGGAAACUGGGGCUAAUACCGGAUAGGAGCUCCUGCUGCAUGGGGGGGGUUGGAAAGUUUCGGCGGUUGGGGAUGGACUCGCGGCUUAUCAGCUUGUUGGUGGGGUAGUGGCUUACCAAGGCGUUGACGGGUAGCCGGCCUGAGAGGGUGACCGGCCACAUUGGGACUGAGAUACGGCCCAGACUCCUACGGGAGGCAGCAGUGGGGAAUAUUGCACAAUGGGCGGAAGCCUGAUGCAGCAACGCCGCGUGCGGGAUGACGGCCUUCGGGUUGUAAACCGCUUUCGCCUGUGACGAAGCGUGAGUGACGGUAAUGGGUAAAGAAGCACCGGCUAACUACGUG